UUGGAUUUUAAGUUCCAUCGCU
This 22-nucleotide microRNA is filed under the name Spodoptera frugiperda (fall armyworm). Its description in RNAcentral is "sfr-miR-10476-3p". The record is from miRBase by way of RNAcentral. Lineage: Eukaryota; Metazoa; Arthropoda; Insecta; Lepidoptera; Noctuidae.